AAAAAAGCCCUUCAGGAGGCUCUCAGCAGACUCUUGAUGACCUGCAGGCAGAGGAAGACAAAGUCAACACUCUGACCAAGGCCCAAGACCAAGCUUGAGCAGCAAGUGGAUGAUCUUGAGGGUUCCUCUGGAGCAAGAGAAAAGCUUCGUAUGGCCCUUAGAGAGCCAAGAGAAAGCUUGAGGGGGAUCUGAAACUGGCUCAGGAAUCCUCAUGGAUUUUGAGAAUGCAAGCAGCAGUCUGAUGAGAAAUAAAAAAG
Long non-coding RNA from Etheostoma spectabile (orangethroat darter), 257 nucleotides. RefSeq lists it as uncharacterized. NCBI's taxonomy places the organism in Eukaryota, Metazoa, Chordata, Actinopteri, Perciformes, Percidae. The record is from RefSeq and is a predicted model, not a curated record. The transcript is spliced from 2 exons.